RNAcentral lists this transfer RNA (63 nucleotides) under Decolopoda australis. RNAcentral's name for it is "tRNA-Arg". The record is from RNAcentral. Lineage: Eukaryota; Metazoa; Arthropoda; Pycnogonida; Pantopoda; Colossendeidae.
AAGUAAAAAACGAAAAUUAUUGUAUUUGAUUUCGACUCAAACCUUGGUGAAUACCUUUACUUA